This 570-nucleotide long non-coding RNA is filed under the name Homo sapiens (human). RNAcentral describes it as "non-protein coding lnc-MN1-1:2". Lineage: Eukaryota; Metazoa; Chordata; Mammalia; Primates; Hominidae. The record is from RNAcentral.
GAACUGUGGGCAAGGCGUCCUCUUUCCAGAUGGUAGCCCUGGGUUUGAGAAAGGGAGAAUCAGUGGCUGAGUGACUGUGACUCCUUGGAGCCCACGCCGGCCGGUGAGAACCGGGAACCCCAGGCAGUGGGGAAGGGGAACAAUUGUGAACGCCCUAGUGACGGAGGAGUGAGCAAGCGCCCAGGUCUCUCGAGGAGAACCCUAACUUCGAGGUUCCCCGUCUGCUUUACCCUCCAAGAAAAUCCCAGGGCCGGCUAACUUGGGCGCCGCUAGCGGAGAACGGAGUGUUCACCCCGGAGCCGAAGUGCAGUAGACACUUAGCGACUUUCCGUGGCGAGUCUAGGGUCUUUGCCUGGCGACCUCAUUGUCUGAGCGCCCCGUACCGCUCACCGCCCACCUCCCCGCCCCCUGCCCACCCGGUGGGUCUCGCUCCAGUUGGGGGUGGGGAGUUGGGAACAGUGUGAAUGGGAAGGGGGUGAACAAAGCCAAGCUCCCGCCAUUCUCCUCCGCCUGCACCCUCUCCAGCUCGAUGCGCCCGGAGGCCGGGGCGCGCCCCCAGCGCACUGACGC